RNAcentral lists this long non-coding RNA (279 nucleotides) under Malus domestica (apple). RNAcentral's name for it is "long non-coding RNA (MDOM_LNC005259)". The record is from RNAcentral. Lineage: Eukaryota; Viridiplantae; Streptophyta; Magnoliopsida; Rosales; Rosaceae.
UAAGUAUGGCUUUUAAAUUUGUUGUUAUCUUUUGGUUUUGAUAAAAAUUCUAUCUGGGUUCCGAGCAAGGUGUGAAUUUGGGGGGUUUUGCUUUCCGGGUUCAGUCUCUUCUUCUCUCAUUGUGAACAAUAUGAACAAUCUAGGUCCUUUUUCUCAGUUUACUUCAACCUAUUUCAUGAAACGGUGUCUGGGUUUUGCAAUCUAGGUCCUUAUUCUCAGUUUACUUCAACCUAUUUCGUGAAACGGUGUCUGGGUUUUGCUCUCUCUCUCUCUCUCUCU